This 2133-nucleotide long non-coding RNA is filed under the name Mus musculus (house mouse). Its description in RNAcentral is "long non-coding RNA chr4:107184990-107187123". Lineage: Eukaryota; Metazoa; Chordata; Mammalia; Rodentia; Muridae. The record is from RNAcentral.
AGAUGGUUAUGCACGUGGAUGCAGCAAAAACAUACCAGUGACUCCUGGGUACUUGCUAACUCCUUUCUGCCUUAUGCAGGAUUCAUACUGUCAUUCUUAGUUCUAUUUCUGAUUUUUCUACCUGUUUGUUGUGGCCACAGAAUAUGCAGAAAGGGUAGUAUAUUUACCCACUUGGCUUUUUUCUUAGUGUCUCUUUUAAAAUAAAGAAAUAGGGACUGGGGAUGUGGCUUAGUUAUUAGGUUCUCAAUGUCCAGCAUCACAUAAGCCAGGUGUGGUGGAGCAGGGAAUCCCAGCAGUAGGAAGGUAGAGACAGGAGGAUCAAAAGUACAAACUCAGGAACUGGAGAGAUAGCUCAGGAACUAAGAGCACUAGCUGCUUUUCCAGAGAACCCACAUUCCAUCCCAGCACCCACAUAGCAGUUCACAGCUACCUGUAAUUCUGGUUCCAGGGGAGCAGAUGCCCUCUUUUGACCUCCAUGGACACUGCAUGUAGGUGAUGCACAGACAUACUUGCAGGCAAAAUACAUAAAAUAAAAAUAAAGUUCUUUAAAAACAAAAGUACAAGGUCAUCAUUGAUUGCACAGGGAGGUAGAAACUAACCUAGUGUGUGAGAGACCACGUCUAUGAACAAAUAAUUCAAAUUAGGAACUAAAACUUUUCUCUUUUAGUACAAAACUUAUUGUAUGGUUUAAAACAAACACUUAACUCUGCUUUCUUCUUGACUUUUUUUUCCAGCUGAAAGAAACAUCUUAUUUUUUGGUAAUCUUCUUUGUUCUUGAACUUCCCAGGAAGAGGAGUUAUACGCAUGCCAGAGAGGCUGCAGGCUGUUUUCAAUUUGCCAGUUUGUGGAUGAUGGGCUUGAUUUAAAUCGGACCAAGCUGGAAUGUGAAUCUGGUAAGAGGCUAUGCUAAUGACGUCAGCCAUGCAUAACUUUGGGGCUUUCUUUGAGUUGAGUUAUGCUUUUUAUGUAUUUUUCCUAGAAAAGGUAGACAUCCUGUUUAAACUAGUCACCCACCAUACUGUAACUGUAAAAUUAGAGUUUUAAUAGAGGCUGCUAAAAAUGGCAUUGGCUUUAAUCCAUCUGUGAUGAGACAGUGUUUAUUUUGUGCUGUGGAUAGGAUUCCUUUGUUUAACCAAGCAUUCUGUUUAGACAAAUGCAGAGGUAAUUAUACAACUCAUAAUUCACCACUACCUUUUCAUGGAUGGUAUAAUUUCCCUGAGCCUCUCCAUCAGUCGGCUGGUUGACAGAGCUCCAAGGUUUUUACUGAAUCAGGCCUUUGACUCUGAAGUGUUUUAGAGUAUUCUUUAUCAGUCAUGCCAGCGAAAAUAACCCGAGGCUUUGUCACCACUUAACCACUCUUCUUACCUUUUGGUGAAAGAGACGUGUUUAAUAAAAGACACCUACAGUCAGGACACAGGGGACAUUUACCUUUGUAAAGAACAGUAAUGGAAUCUUGUCUGUGUUCCCCAACACACACAGUAUACUCCAUGUGGCAGGACACAGCUGUUCCCUGAGGUGGCUCUCACACUAUUGUGUGAUAUUGUGACCUUAUUUUUGUGGCUCAGGCUCCUCACUGGCCAUAUUUAUAUAUUCAUAGUGCUAUGUUAGCUUAUCUAGAGCCUCUGAGAAGUAUGUUACUUACCUGAGUGAGAAGCAGUGAACUGGAGGAUUCAAGUGUGUCUGACAGCCCGUUUCAGCUGCUUCUUGUCUUAGGAGUGCUGAGGAUGGAGCCCAGGACCUAGUGUAUGCCAGGCCAGUGCUGUGCCCCAGCCUACUACACAGCCCCAGCCCUGUUCAGCCUUUAAAAUUCCUCAUUGCAGAACAUUUUCUGCUUCUAUUUUCUUAGAAUUUAGCAUAAUAGACUAAUUAGUUUAUUUCCCCCUUGCCAUAUUGAUGCCUUUGUUUCUCAACUGAAUAAUCGCAAAUAUUUAUAUAAAUAACUGACAAACAUUGUCUCAUUCUUAUAUUGGGUAGUAGUCUUUCCAUUUCAGACUUGCAGCAAUCAAACUAGGCUAAGUGGCACAAGUCUGUAUUCCUAGUUACUUGGGAGGCUGAGGCAGGAAGGUUCAAGGCUUGUCUGCACUACAGAGUGAGUUCACAGCCAAUCUGGGCAACUUGGGGAGACCUUGUCCC